UCCCUGUCGUGCAGUGGAUAGCACUUUGGACUUCCAAUCUAAAGGUCGUGGGUUCGAAUCCCACAUAGGAAG
Trichonephila clavipes is the source of this 72-nucleotide non-coding RNA. The record is from the annotation of a GenBank genome assembly. Lineage: Eukaryota; Metazoa; Arthropoda; Arachnida; Araneae; Nephilidae.